AUAAGUAGCUAGAUAAUUAUAAAAUUAUUUUUAAUUAUUUAUUGUUUUUUUUAUCUUAUGAAUUUUAAUUAACCCAGUUUCUUACAAUAAAAUUUUCUGUUAGUUUAUUUAUUGAAUGAAACUUGUGUAGCUUAAAAUCAUGCAUGCAUUUAAGCUGAAUCGAAUCUAAAUUAAACUGAAGUAAAUCUGGUUAUGUUCUGUCAUUUUUCUUUGAAACAAAAGGCUCAAAAGAAAAGACCCAAUGGGAAUAGAACGCAUUGCUUCCUGUCUAUUUCCCUUUUAAGUUUAAAAUAUGUAUCUCAUAUCUCACCAACACGCAUGUCUCUGCGCGUGUAUGACACUGUCAUUCAUGUUAACUCCAAAUAACUAAUUAAAAAAUGAAAUAAAAACCUUUGAUUGCUUCCCUUAUCUUCUUAUGAUUCGUUCGGAGCAAUCUUUGCUUUGAUAAUAUCUAUAUUUCUUUGGACAAAAAAACUAUAUUUCUCUCUUGAUCGAGUCAUAGCGGAAUUGAGAAACCGAUCUGAUUUACUCGCCGCUUAAACUGUGGAAUAUUUUUAUUAAUUGGUUCGAUUUUCUUUUUUAACCUCUUCAGUGUUGUUGCUUAUCAUCCUCUUCCCUCUGCCUCUUCAUACUCUGCAAAACCCAUCGCCAAUAAUUUUAAACUCUUGAAUGUUAUUGAGUUACCGGAGGUGGCAGCGAAAUGAACCGUCACCGUUGAUAUCGCCUCCAACCAAGGCGAAGUCAGUAGCAUCCAGAAACUCACGGUACGCUCCUUCUUUUCCUUCUCGUUUCAAAAGUUUCAGUCUUUACAUAUGUUUUCAUUAUAGUGGCUAUCUCUCUGUAUUUGGGCUAUAUCACGGUGUGAACAAAAAGCCCACUAAACCGUAAACAAUUAUGAAACGCAGCAUCCCACAUCAAAAGUUAAUGAAACGAUGAGUUUUAGGCAAAGAAGACAGGUGUCGCAUUCACAAUCAAUGACUUUAUGACGUGGCGCAAUAGGAGGGAGACAAACAUUUUUUUAUAUAUAUAAAUUUUAUCUAUUUAUGUCAUAUUUUGAACUGGACAAAUUGGGACCAGUGAAAUUUAUUAAUCUAUAGAAAUUAUUAAUUUAUCGAGUAUUAAUUUAUAAAAGUUAUUGAUCAUUUUGCUUUCCAGCCUCUUCUCUUUGUGCAGGGCCGGUCCUGGACCAUGCUAAGUGAAAUAUUUGCAACAAGCUCCUAAAAAUUUUGAAGAAAACUAUAUAGACAUAAGCCUCUUGAAAAAAAAUUUAGAGCCCUAAAUUUGCGAAAAAUUCAGAUGCCAAGAACGUUGCAAGUUCCACUGAGAGAGAAGAGCUAUCGUUGAUAUAUAUAGAGUUCUUGGGCCUUUUUGGAGAUGUCAAGACCAUCAAAAAGGCAGAAGAUCAACACGCUAAACUCUUUCGUCGGAGCACGUCAGAGCUGAGAAAGCGUAGCGCAGAUGACUUUCUAUCUUCUGAUAGGACUAAAAUGGCGAAAACUUACAACGGAACUCUUCCUGCUCAGCCAGUGUCUGCACAAGCUCAGUGGUCUGGUGGAUACGCUGCACAGCCUCAGGCUUGUCCACAAGCACAAGCCGCUCCUGCAUAACCACAGCAAUGGAACCCCGCCUAUGGCCAGCAGGCUGCGUAUGGUGCAUAUCCCGCUGGUUAUACUGCUCCACAAGCACCAGCACCCGUCCCACAAGCUGCUGCUUAUGGCGUAUAUCCUGCUCAGGCAUAUCCAGCACAGAGUUACGCACUUCCUGUUGCUUAAAUUUAAUAAAGCGAAUUAACUAAAAUAAAAUAUAAAAUAAAGAAUACACGAUUUUAACUUGCAAGAACACAAAAAUUAAAUAUACUCUUCAAAAUAAAACAUCAAAAGCGUAUUUUCAAAAUAAAUUAGAAAUCAAUGUCAAAUGUAUUUUCUUUUAUAAUAUUCAAAUCAAAAAAUCGCAUAAUCCGCAUGAACAAGGAGCAAAACAAGAAAUAUAGGAUUUGAAAUUAAUGAAAAAUAACACUGAAGGAAAACGAAAAACAUACGCGAUGAAAAGUAAAUCAUACAAGCCGAAGACAAAAUCCGAAUAGACAAAAAAUGUAUCACACCAGAAAAUAUCGGAUAUACUAGAAAAUAAUUCCAAUAUGAAAACAUGAUUGGAAAUUUACACAGCUCUCUCUGAAAUAUGUUAACUAUGAGAACAAAGUGAGAUCCCCAAGCCAUAAUUUAUUUAUGAGUUUCAAAUUAGUUUUAAUCAAUCAAAAGAAAUAAACAAAUAUAUUUAUCCAUUAAUAUUUUUAAUAUAAAUCAACACUAUGAUUUUAUGUUUUGACAAAUAUUAUUAUAGUCAGUUACAGUCAAGAUCUUCAUAGAAACUAACCAAAUAAGUUAUACUAAAAUAAAUUUAAUAUGCUAGUGAUUUGCAAGAUUUUUAAAAAUUAUUGUUCUUAAAGCAAACUAAAUGAUGAAUUCUUAUAAUCAUUAGUUUGAUUCACCUCAUAUAAAUCAAGUUGCUCUCUGCUGAUUUAUGUCCGAGAAAAUAUUUAGAAAACAAUGUUUAAAAUAAAGAGCCUAAAAAAAGCAUGUCAAAUAAGUUAAUUAAGCUUCUAAAUGAAAUUUAUAACGAAGAGGUCUGCCUGUCUAGGACUUGAUCUUGGUACUAGCCCAUAACGAUCAAAGUCAAAUCGGAAGCCUAUUAAUGAGACAAAUUCAAUAAAACAACAACUGGUAAUCAACAAUAAAUUAGCAUGAAAAAUAAUAUAAAAACUGAUAGAAUGAACAAUCAAUAUGACUUUAUCAAUAUAUAUAUAUAUAUAUAUAGUCUAAGUAUUAUAAUCAACAAACUAAAAACACAAAAAUUUACAAAUUUUGAAAAAUUAGAAAAAAAAUCUCAAGAUUACAAUGAAAACGCUAUCUAGACUUUGUUUAUCUUAUCGUCAGCAUUUAACAACUAGAAAACAAUUAUCAAAAUUAGGAAAUAGUUUUCAAAGAAUCUUAAAAAUCUUCAUGUAAACUCCAAAACAAACAAAUAUUAACUAUUAUACCAAAAAAUAAAUUAUAAUAUAUUGUAAUAUAUUAUACGAUCAUACAAGCUUAACUACAAUACAAAUAAUUGAUAAGAUCAAGUAGUAGACAACUCUAAUACUUUAGAUUAUCAAUAUUAUUAAUUAAAUAAAUAAAAUGUUACAUAAAAUUAGUUAAAUUCAUUAUAUUUAAUUUAAUUUUUACAUUAUCUUACAAAGGCUAUUUAAUAUUAAUUAAAGUUCAUCAAAAUAUUUAUUGUGAUUAAAUUUUUAAUCUAAAUAUUAUACUAUCACACAUCUAUUACUAUAAAGUAGAGUUUUUCUCUUCUCUGGUGUUGCCACGUCAUCAAAUGAGGUAAGGAAAGCUCGACACGUGUCAUCUCCGAAUUAUUUCAUCUUUACGUUUCUUCUUGGCUUUUAAUGAUUCUCUUGAUACGGGCCUCGGUGUGAUCAUCCAAGCUUUGGUUGAAGCGAGACUGACAAAAUUCUCAAAGAAAAAGAAGAGAAAUUCUUCUGUAGAGAGAAGAAAACAGACGAUACAAACGAGAUUUGGUUUUAUAAGACAAUAUGAAAUCAUGUUUUAACCUGAGAAGAAGACGAACCCUAAUCCACGUUGAUACAGGUUCUUUCUCGCUGGGGUAUGAAACGUAACCCCGUCUGUUCAUCUCUCCCUCAAUUCAAUUGACAGAGUUAUUAACAGUGAUUAUAGUAUGCAAUCAAUUCAUCCACUUUCUCCUCAUCAAUCAAGAUUUCUCACCUCCCCCAUCACCGAAGCUCUGUAUAUAUGUGGCGCAAGGUGCCCAAGAGAAAUCACAAAGCUUCUUCCAACGAAGAAAUUCGUCUCAAGGGGAUUAGAGUCAGAGGAGUCGACGAGCAUCACCAGCGUCGUCUUCUUCCGCCUACGGUGGAAAAACUCAAAUCGUUGAUUGCCUUUAAAAUCCUUGAGUUACAGGAAUUCGUAUUUGGCAUAAAUAGGUGGAUUAGAGACAGAGGAUUUGAACAUAUUAGAGUUGGAUCAUUAUGUGUUGCAGCCGAAGCUGCGAGAGCACUAAAUCCACCUUGGUUCAAGGUUCUACCGGGGCUCAUAGACUCAAAACUUUGAAGCACCUGUUGAAGGAAGAUGCCAUCUAUGUGCUAAGCGUAUUCAAUGUCACAAGAAGUAACAUCCACUUCAAACUCACUGACUCACCAGUUUCCAUUCGCUUCAACGACCUGACCAACUUUGUGGAGCUUAUGUAGACAACUGCCUUUAUUCUACAGAACAGUUCAUGUUUCAGAAAUAUGAGCAGCUCAUGUCUUUAGUUAAUACAAACGUGGAUUUGCUGGAUAUUUGUAUCUAAUCUUGGUUUUUCAAUUAGCUAACAUUUUAUUGGUUUAAUAAUUGUCCAUCUGUAUUCAACCUUUGUUACCAAAGUUUUCUGCAGACAUUGUUCGUGUUGUUUGUGGCAUCAAGAACGCCUACAACGAAGAAAAUCAGGCCAUCGUACGUAUUAUUCAGUAACCCUACAAUACUUCAUGGUUUUGAGUCAAGGCAAGUAUUUUUAAUGGAAUCAGAGAGGCUGUCGAGAAUAUAAUUCUGACUAUGUUUUCUCUUUCGGAAACAUGAGAAAUAUCAAAUCGAAGGAGUUCAGACAAUGGUUUAGACACAAUGGAAGGUUCUUCAAUUGCAAAAACAAAGUGAUGCAGGUUGCUCUUGGUUCUUCUGCUUCUGGUGAAAUCCAUCAUGCCAUCUUUAAAGCCUCCAAGAUGCCAAAUGAAGAGGUUGAAAAGUUAUCAUCUCUCUCCCGUAGCUCUCUUUUUUGUUCAAUCUUGUUUUGGUGAAAGCAAUGGUGAAGGACUUACACUGACUGUAUCCAUCUUUCUUUUGGUUAUCAUUACAUCUUAUUUAACGUUUAUGAAUUAUUUAAUGCUUAUGAAGGUUCGGAAUUUUGAAGGAGUGGAAGCAUUGCAGUAGAAACGAUUUGUGAUUAAAACUAUUGCCCGCUUGAUAAACAAACAAGCUUCAUUGUGUUUAUCUUUAUUACUGAUCAACUCUGUUUUGGUACAAUUGAUUGAUCGGGUUGAACUGAAGGAAGAUCCUCUAGAACCGUUCACACAUGAGAUGGAACUAUUUCUAAGGAAGCCGGGUAUAUGGAUGUUCAGCUCAACAAAGGUUGUAUCCUAUCACUUUUAAUUUCCCUUUCUCUCUCUCAUUUACAAAGUUAAUUUAUUUUGUUAAUUCAUUAUGUAGGUACCGUAGAGUUACUCUCGGACUUGUAGUUUGUAAUUUUUUUUUCCUGAACGUUGAAUUUUUACUAAUGUGAUUAUAUUUAAAAAAAAUUGGUAAAAAAUGUGACUUGAUCCGAAAUUAUAUCAUAUAAUAUAUUAGUUGAUAAAAAAAAUAUCAUAUAAUAUAUUUUAAAAUUGAGAUAUAUUAUUUUAAACAAAUAUAAAAUAUUUAAUCACAAAGUAAAUUGACUUUUAAUAAUAAAAUCAUAGUAUUGUAUCGCCUGAACAUAUCUAACAUCAAAUGAUCAUUGUUUAAUAACAUAAAUGGCAAACAUCCAGUAUAACAAACAUAAAGUAGGACUCAAUUCAUUUUUCCUUGACCUUUUGCAGUUUCUCUGAUUUCUUUAACUCAAGCUUCACAAUCUAUUCUUCUCUUCGUUUUCUUCACAGCCUCUCCCUCCGUCAACUCGAUUCAUCUCCUUCAAGUCGCCAGUUUGGCUUUGAUUUUAAAUAUUUCAGAUUUAUAUAGUAACUAUCAAUAUUACAUUUGUAUACUAUCUAGCUAACUAUUAAAAAAGUUAUAGUGAAUCGUUUAUUUUAUUUUUUAAAUCACAAAAUUAAUAUGUAUUAAAUAAAAUGUAUAAGAGAAACUAUAAGUUUCAAUAGAUUUAGAAACAAAAAUAUUACAGGUAUAAAUAAAUUAUAAUUAAAUGUUUGAUUUAAAUUAAAGUUUUGAGUAAAUUAAUACAUUUUACUUAUUGAAUAUAAUAUAAAAAAACAUUGAUGAAAAUGUGAAAUAGUGACAUUUAUAUCAUAAUAUUUUAAAAUAAAACAAAAUAUUAUAAUCAACAAGAGUAACAAAAUAUUCAAUAUAAUAUUAUUUUAUUUAACUAUAUAUUUCAUAAUAUUUUGAUUGUUUUCACUUGCUUACCCGUCCGUAUGACGGAUUUUACCCUAGUAUAUAUAUAUAAUAAUCACACAUUAAUUGUAAAGUUUUUCUUACUACAAAGAAAAAUUAGAUAUUAUGCAGAUAGUUCAAUCAUUUAUGUUAUUCAAAUAAAAUAUAUGUAAAAUGUAUGAUAAAAUAUUAUAAUGUAUUAACAGUCUACAUACAUCAAACAAUUUAUAUAAUAUCUAAAAUACAAAUUAAUAUUUUUUCAAAACUUAUGCAUAUGUUUAUAAAUAAUUAUUCCAUUUAUAAAUUCAAAUAACUAAAUAGCUAAUAAGAGGGUAUAGUUAUAAAUAAUAAAAGAGAAAUACCCUAGAAUAGCACUAAAAAAGUUUGUCACUAAUAUAGACUAUAAGGAUCAAAAUGACCAAAAUAUUUUAUUAAAGAAGUAAAUAUACAUUUAUACCCUUAGGAUUAACUAAUCCAAACCUUAGGGUUUAGAGUUAAGAAGUGGGGAUUUGAGAUUGAGAUUUAAAAUUUUAUAAAAUAAAAAGUAAAUA
Long non-coding RNA from Brassica napus (rape), 6673 nucleotides. RefSeq lists it as uncharacterized. The record is from RefSeq and is a predicted model, not a curated record. The transcript is spliced from 8 exons. Lineage: Eukaryota; Viridiplantae; Streptophyta; Magnoliopsida; Brassicales; Brassicaceae.